RNAcentral lists this ribosomal RNA (468 nucleotides) under uncultured bacterium. RNAcentral's name for it is "partial 16S ribosomal RNA". It matches the Rfam family "Bacterial small subunit ribosomal RNA", at positions 28 to 507 of the family's 1533-position model. The record is from RNAcentral.
GACGAACGCUGGCGGCGUGCUUAACACAUGCAAGUCGAACGGAAAGGCCCUGCUUUUGUGGGGUGCUCGAUUGGCGAACGGGGGAGUAACACGUGAGUAACCUGCCCUUGACUUUGGGAUAACUUCAGGAAACUGGGGCUAAUACCGGAUAGGAGCUCCUGCUGCAUGGUGGGGGUUGGAAAGUUUCGGCGGUUGGGGAUGGACUCGCGGCUUAUCAGCUUGUUGGUGGGGUAGUGGCUUACCAAGGCUUUGACGGGUAGCCGGCCUGAGAGGGUGACCGGCCACAUUGGGACUGAGAUACGGCCCAGACUCCUACGGGAGGCAGCAGUGGGGAAUAUUGCACAAUGGGCGGAAGCCUGAUGCAGAAACGCCGCGUGCGGGAUGACGGCCUUCGGGUUGUAAACCGAUUUCGCAUGUGACGAAGCGUGAGUGACGGUAAUGGGUAAAGAAGCACCGGCUAACUACGUG